RNA transcript from Lolium perenne, 1420 nucleotides. It is a transcript of the gene named methylcrotonoyl-CoA carboxylase subunit alpha, mitochondrial, with no coding region annotated. The record is from RefSeq and is a predicted model, not a curated record. NCBI's taxonomy places the organism in Eukaryota, Viridiplantae, Streptophyta, Magnoliopsida, Poales, Poaceae.
GCUUAUCUCCUGCAACUUUUGUGUGGUUUGGUUUUCCUUCCAUUGUGUGGUCUUCUUCAAGCUUUUAUUUUUCCAGAUUUGUAGGUUCAUAAUUGCUUGACAAGGCUGAACAUAAUCUACUCAAGCUUCUACAAUACGGCAUUUUUUUUCUACAAGUGAGCUCACUUUGUUGCUUGCUGCAAUCGCUUGUGAGUCAAUGUGUUUUGGUGUAGGUUAAAUGGAGGUCAGCUACUAUAUCAAAGUUAAGACCUUACUUACUUUCAGAGAUAUAUUUCCAUUGUCUGAUGGAUGUGUUAGUACAAGCAGACAAAUCAUAAUGCUUACUGGAGUGUAAUUGUGCGCUUUCAUUAAAUUUGUUUCUUAGCCUAUAAGGUGUUGAGGUGGUUUAUUAUGUGCUGGAUUUGAAUACCAUAUUAUAUGCAAAUUACAACAUAAUGACAUGUUGUGUUUUCUCAGGAUAACAAAUGAGCCUCUUUCUGGACUAAUUGGCAUGUUAUUUAAUGUGGUUACGCUUCAAGCUGUAAAGGUAUUUGGUGACUAACAUGGAAAUAUUGUUCACCUUUACGACAGACUGUAGUCUUCAAAGAAGGCAUCAGAAGAUUAUUGAGGAAGCACCAGCUCCAAAUGUUCCAACAGAGUUUUGGACUACUGUUGAAGCUGCUUUAACUGCUGCGAAGGCUACUGUACCGGUUAACCCGAAGCCUUCCCUCAACAACCUGACUGUUAUUGCCAAACUGAAGUUGAAAUUUUACCACGGAACCUUUGGAAAAUUUCUACUGAAUCCUUGAUGUACGUUAAAGAAAGCAGAGCAUUAAAGGACACAUCGAUAGUUGAUCAGAGCAUGUGCGCAAGCCAGAGUAGCAGGAGAUGGUGAGAUGAAGCUAAAGAAGCAAAAUCAGAGAAUAAAUAGAAGUGGAGAAGAAAGCAGGAACCUGGGAGGACCUAGGAGGGGGAGGAAGGCGCAACACCGACGGCUAUGUUUGCUUUGGUGUACAUUUUACGUAGUCACAGAACUACUAAUGCCCCUUGGCCUGUUAUAAUGUACUAGAAGGGCCCUGCGCUCUUUGCUGCGCCCGUUGUUUGGUGUUAUCGUUUUAUGUUUUCUCCAUCGCUUGUGUGUGACGAUAUUGCAGUACAUGCUGUCGAGCGGUAAAGUGGGUGCUUUACCUCCACUAUAAACAAUGGCGGGUAUGAUAGCUGCAUCUCCAUUUCGUAUAGGGUCCAGUUAUACGUGAGCCUGAUCUAACCUGCCUUUUGAUGGGGCAGGGAUAACAGUGUCAUAAAGAGCAGGCGGUAUUGCUCGGUGCGUUCUUCUAUUUUAUGUUUCUCUGCUUGGUGGUUCUUCGGCAUCGAAAUCCUUGGCUCUUGUAUCAUCAAAAAGAUCAGCUAUGUUGUGGAUUAAUCUUGCCUUAAAUUUCUG